GCCAACAUGAGAAAUUUGCUCUUUAUGAUAGCGCCCAGGCCUGUUGUUAGGCCUAAGCAGCGGUACUCUCCUGGACAAUUAAGCCCGAGCAGGGCGCUGUAUCCGGCGGCCACAGUUACAACACCCACCCUGGGGAUGUCCAUCAGAGCAAUGCCGACAAAAGAGGUUAUGCAAGCUCCAACACAUCGCUUCGAGCUCUAAACCAAACAAAAAGCAUCAACUCGGUGUAGUUUUCCCUCUUAGAACUAAAGUUCACCAAAGCGAGCUUUACAAUUCGCGGUACAUUUUAAAUUCAGCCUAUCAACCACUGCCUAGCCGACCGAGCUAAUAAGCUAAUGCUUAAAACCGUGUUUUCUUGACGAAAAGUUAUGUAUUAGCACGUUAGCUGAAUACAGCACAGCAAGCUAGCUAGGCUCUGCCAAUGAGUGCGGCGUGUUAGCUGUUUUGCUAACACAAUGUCGUGGGAGAAUAUGUAAAAUAUCAAAAGAAGAAGACCCAGAGAAGCUAGCAGGCAUUUCAGCCGUGAGUGCUACAACAACCGG
Long non-coding RNA from Ictalurus punctatus (channel catfish), 542 nucleotides. RefSeq lists it as uncharacterized. The transcript is spliced from 2 exons. The record is from RefSeq and is a predicted model, not a curated record. Lineage: Eukaryota; Metazoa; Chordata; Actinopteri; Siluriformes; Ictaluridae.